RNAcentral lists this small nucleolar RNA (70 nucleotides) under Choloepus hoffmanni (Hoffmann's two-fingered sloth). RNAcentral describes it as "Small nucleolar RNA SNORD112 (ENSCHOG00000015957.1)". Lineage: Eukaryota; Metazoa; Chordata; Mammalia; Pilosa; Megalonychidae. The record is from RNAcentral.
UGGACCAAUGACUGUAAUAUCAUGAACCAUGGAUUAUGUUUAAUCCAAUUCUGUAUACCUGAAGUCUAAG